AUUGAACGCUGGCGGCAUGCCUUACACAUGCAAGUCGAACGGUAACGCGGGGGCGAACCCUGGCGACGAGUGGCGAACGGGUGAGUAAUACAUCGGAACGUACCCAGUAGUGGGGGAUAGCUCGGCGAAAGCCGGAUUAAUACCGCAUACGACCUAUGGGUGAAAGCGGGGGAUCGCAAGACCUCGCGCUAUUGGAGCGGCCGAUGUCGGAUUAGCUAGUUGGUGAGGUAAAGGCUCACCAAGGCUACGAUCCGUAGCUGGUCUGAGAGGACGACCAGCCACACUGGGACUGAGACACGGCCCAGACUCCUACGGGAGGCAGCAGUGGGGAAUUUUGGACAAUGGGCGAAAGCCUGAUCCAGCCAUGCCGCGUGUGUGAAGAAGGCCUCGGUUGUAAG
RNAcentral lists this ribosomal RNA (398 nucleotides) under uncultured bacterium. RNAcentral's name for it is "bacterial SSU rRNA". It matches the Rfam family "Bacterial small subunit ribosomal RNA", at positions 29 to 429 of the family's 1533-position model. The record is from RNAcentral.